RNAcentral lists this ribosomal RNA (307 nucleotides) under uncultured Geobacter sp. RNAcentral's name for it is "bacterial SSU rRNA". It matches the Rfam family "Bacterial small subunit ribosomal RNA", at positions 1071 to 1382 of the family's 1533-position model. Lineage: Bacteria; Pseudomonadati; Thermodesulfobacteriota; Desulfuromonadia; Geobacterales; Geobacteraceae. The record is from RNAcentral.
GAUGUGGUUAAGUCCGCAACGAGCGCAACCCCUAUCCUCAGUUGCCAUCAUUAAGUUGGGCACUCUGUGGAGACUGCCGGUGUUAAACCGGAGGAAGGUGGGGAUGACGUCAAGUCCUCAUGGCCCUUAUGACCAGGGCUACACACGUGCUACAAUGGCCGGUACAAAGAGUUGCAAUACCGCGAGGUGGAGCUAAUCUCAUAAAGCCGGUCUCAGUUCGGAUUGGAGUCUGCAACUCGACUCCAUGAAGUUGGAAUCGCUAGUAAUCGCGGAUCAGCACGCCGCGGUGAAUACGUUCCCGGGCCUU